RNAcentral lists this unclassified non-coding RNA (350 nucleotides) under plant metagenome. Its description in RNAcentral is "partial contains 5.8S ribosomal RNA, internal transcribed spacer 2, and large subunit ribosomal RNA". The stretch from base 1 to 105 matches the Rfam family "5.8S ribosomal RNA", at positions 50 to 154 of the family's 154-position model. The record is from RNAcentral.
GAAAUGCGAUAAGUAAUGUGAAUUGCAGAAUUCAGUGAAUCAUCGAAUCUUUGAACGCACCUUGCGCUCCUUGGUAUUCCAAGGAGCAUGCCUGUUUGAGUGUCAUGGAAUUCUCAACUCUAUUUGCUUUUGUGAAUAGAGCUUGGAUUUGGAGGUUUAUUGCUGGUACUUGUGAUCGGCUCCUCUUGAAUGCAUUAGCUCGAACCUUUGCGGAUCAGCUAUCGGUGUGAUAAUUGUCUACGCCGUUGCAGUGAAGCAUAUCAAUGGGCUCGGCUUCCAAUCGUCCUUUACUGGACAAUGACUUUGACCUUUGACCUCAAAUCAGGUAGGAUUACCCGCUGAACUUAAGC